RNAcentral lists this long non-coding RNA (457 nucleotides) under Drosophila guanche. Lineage: Eukaryota; Metazoa; Arthropoda; Insecta; Diptera; Drosophilidae. The record is from RNAcentral.
GUUUUCCAUAACUAUUAUCUCCCACAAAAUGAAAGUCUCUUCAACAUAUUUACAACCAUUUCCGAGUUUCGGCUCUCUCACACACGCCCUCUGUCGGAGAAAGGUGCAAAUGUACAUAUGGAUGUGUUGGAAUAACAAACAGCUCACUACGUUCCCCCUCGUUUCACUCUUAUAAGAAAGAAAUUCAAUUUUAAUGGGAAAAGUUACACUUAAUAUUUCCUAGAGCAAUAAAUAAAAUUGUUAAACAGAUAGUCCCACCCAAUUUGGUACCCCUACCUCGUAAAACACUUGUCUGUAAGGUAAAGUAAAACCAGGAUCAUUUUAUUUAAUUUUUAUUCAUCAACAAUAAUUUACAGUCUUCCAUUUGCCAUUUACCUAACUGGAGAAGUCUACUUUCCUGUUUCUCUACUGGAUAGAUACAUUUUAAUGUUCGUUUUAAAUUGUAAACAAAUCGAUG